ACACAGGGGGAUAACAGUUAGAAAUGACUGCUAAUACCGCAUAAGACCACAGCACCGCAUGGUGCAGGGGUAAAAACUCCGGUGGUGUGAGAUGGACCCGCGUCUGAUUAGCUAGUUGGUAAGGUAACGGCUUACCAAGGCGACGAUCAGUAGCCGACCUGAGAGGGUGACCGGCCACAUUGGGACUGAGACACGGCCCAAACUCCUACGGGAGGCAGCAGUGGGGAAUAUUGCACAAUGGGGGAAACCCUGAUGCAGCGACGCCGCGUGAGCGAAGAAGUAUUUCGGUAUGUAAAGCUCUAUCAGCAGGGAGGAAACUGACGGUACCUGACUAAGAAGCACCGGCUAAAUACGUGCCAGCAGCCGCGGUAAUACGUAUGGUGCAAGCGUUAUCCGGAUUUACUGGGUGUAAAGGGAGCGUAGACGGAUAGGCAAGUCUGGAGUGAAAGCCCGGGGCUCAACCCCGGGACUGCUUUGGAAACUGUUUAUCUAGAGUGCUGGAGAGGUAAGUGGAAUUCCUAGUGUAGCGGUGAAAUGCGUAGAUAUUAGGAGGAACACCAGUGGCGAAGGCGGCUUACUGGACAGUAACUGACGUUGAGGCUCGAAAGCGUGGGGAGCAAACAGGAUUAGAUACCCUGGUAGUCCACGCCGUAAACGAUGACUGCUAGGUGUCGGGUGGCAAAGCCAUUCGGUGCCGCAGCUAAC
Molecule: ribosomal RNA, 705 nt
Filed under: uncultured bacterium
Lineage: Bacteria
Description: bacterial SSU rRNA
Rfam family: Bacterial small subunit ribosomal RNA
Source: RNAcentral